This 71-nucleotide transfer RNA is filed under the name Holothuria hilla. RNAcentral describes it as "tRNA-Pro". Lineage: Eukaryota; Metazoa; Echinodermata; Holothuroidea; Aspidochirotida; Holothuriidae. The record is from RNAcentral.
CAGGAGCUAGUUUAAAAGAAAAUAGUUGUUUUGGGGACAACAGACGCAAAACUCAAUAUUUGCGCACCUGA